This 253-nucleotide ribosomal RNA is filed under the name uncultured bacterium. RNAcentral describes it as "partial 16S ribosomal RNA". It matches the Rfam family "Bacterial small subunit ribosomal RNA", at positions 524 to 776 of the family's 1533-position model. The record is from RNAcentral.
UACGUAGGGUGCAAGCGUUGUCCGGAAUUAUUGGGCGUAAAGAGCUCGUAGGCGGUCUGUCGCGUCUGCUGUGAAAACUCGGGGCUUAACCCCGGGCCUGCAGUGGGUACGGGCAGACUAGAGUGCGGUAGGGGAGACUGGAGUUCCUGGUGUAGCGGUGAAAUGCGCAGAUAUCAGGAGGAACACCGGUGGCGAAGGCGGGUCUCUGGGCCGUAACUGACGCUGAGGAGCGAAAGCGUGGGGAGCGAACAGG